UAUAUUUUAAAUAUUUUUACGUUGCCAAAUUGGUGUAAUUAUUUUUUUUAUUUUUUUUAUUUUCCUGUUUUCAAAUCAAAAUACACAACAUAUGAUACUAAAUGUUGUACACUUUGUGACUGUGCAGCUGAUUGUUCCUGGCAAAUGUGGGCAAGCACAACGGCAACCUGCUGCUGCUGGGAGUCCCAACCUGUCCCCUUCUGAGCCCCCCUCCCCUUCUCACACCCAUUCCCCCUCUCCUUCCCAGUCCCCUUCUCAGCCCCCCUCCCCUUCUCACACCCAUUCCCCCUCUCCUUCCCAGUCCCCUUCUCAGCCCCCCUCCCCUUCUGUCGCACAAUCCCCCUCUUCUUCCCAGUCCCCUUCUCAGCCCUCCUCCCCUUCUGUCGCACAAUCCCCCUCUCCUUCCCAGUCCCCUUCUCAGCCCCCUCCCCUUCUGUCGCACAAUCCCCCUCUCCUUCACAGUCCCCUUCUCAGCCCCCUCCCCUUCUGUCGCACAAUCCCCCUCUACUUCACAGUCCCCUUCUCAGCCCCACUCCCCUUCUGUUUACCAAUACCCCUCUCUGUCCCCCUCCACCUCUGUUGGCCAAACCACCUCUCUGCCCACCUCACCCUCUCUUUCCCAUUCCCCCUCUCUGUCCCCUUCCCCCUCUGUGACCCAACCCACCUCUCCACCACCCUCCCCAUCUAAGUCUGACCCACCCUCUGGACCAAGCUCCCCUUUCCAGCCUCCUUCCCCCAUCCAGCCGCCUUCCCCACCCAGUGAAUGGGCAGAAGAAGCCCCUGCGGAGAUUCCGGAGAGUCCGCAUGUGGCAGAUGAGAAUGGUGCCGUUGGAGAUCCCACAAGCCUGGCAGGCAUCGUUGGCCGGAUCAAGGCUCAUUUGGAGGCCAUUUUGGCCGAAGUACAUAAUUUACAAAAUUUAAUUUAAAAACAAAAAAGUUU
This is a long non-coding RNA of Pseudophryne corroboree (corroboree frog), 940 nucleotides long. RefSeq lists it as uncharacterized. The transcript is spliced from 3 exons. NCBI's taxonomy places the organism in Eukaryota, Metazoa, Chordata, Amphibia, Anura, Myobatrachidae. The record is from RefSeq and is a predicted model, not a curated record.